This is a long non-coding RNA of Passer domesticus (house sparrow), 794 nucleotides long. RefSeq lists it as uncharacterized. Lineage: Eukaryota; Metazoa; Chordata; Aves; Passeriformes; Passeridae. The transcript is spliced from 4 exons. The record is from RefSeq and is a predicted model, not a curated record.
CUCAUCUAGCACCUGCUCCCGCCCUAAUGAGAUGGGGGGAGCACAUUCAGUGAGAGUUUCUCUGCCUGGACACAAUGCAAUUACAUUUGGGGUUGUUUGUCUGUCUCUGUGUGAAGCAUAAGACACCAGAGGUGCAGAAGAGGCUGGAGCAUCCUGAGUAGUCAGGGGUUGUGGCUGCCUGUGUUGUGUGUAUAUUUAUAGUGCAGCCUCCAGGCUUUCAUCUGAAUUGCUGUUGCUGUGUGAGGAAUGAGAGUGGCAAGAGACAUCCAACAAGUGGUCAGAAGGAGGUGGGAUCUGUGAAGCUGUCACACUUGCCUUCUUGGCGAAAAUUUUAGGAAUACUUCAGUGCUUUCUAAGGGCAGAAGUGGUCUCAUGGUGUUUGGAAUGCAGAGGGCUUUGAAGGAAUGCAAAAGUAUCCUCGGCAGCUGUCUUUAUUGUCUGAAGAUCAGCAUGAGUUGCAGAGCGUCCAAGGUGCUGGAGAGCUCUGGCUUUAAACAUGCACACAUAUAUGCAAUUAAAUGCAGGCCUUGACUUUUCACCUGGGAAACUGGAGGGAUAAGGUAGCCAGAGAUCAAAAUGCAAUGUGUCUUGGACAGAGCAUGGAUGAAUAAAAUAAAGACAGCCAGAGUUUUUAUCUAAACACUCUAUUUUUAGUCUUUACCAUCUGAAAGACACUCUGAAAAUGCAGAUAUUUUGGGGAAUUGGCCACUUCUUGGCGUAGACGUGGUGGUGGCUUGUACACAGCAAUGUUAACCAGUAUUGUGGGGCAACAAAAUUUGGAAACUCUCUAUUGA